GCCCCUGUAGUCUAGUUGGAUAGGACGCGGGAUUGCGGAUCCUGAAACCCGGGUUCAACCCCCGGCAGGGGCA
Molecule: transfer RNA, 73 nt
Filed under: Candidatus Woesearchaeota archaeon
Lineage: Archaea; Nanobdellati; Candidatus Woesearchaeota
Also listed under: 1 other name
Description: tRNA-Arg
Rfam family: tRNA
About the family: Transfer RNA (tRNA) molecules are approximately 80 nucleotides in length. Their secondary structure includes four short double-helical elements and three loops (D, anti-codon, and T loops). Further hydrogen bonds mediate the characteristic L-shaped molecular structure. tRNAs have two regions of fundamental functional importance: the anti-codon, which is responsible for specific mRNA codon recognition, and the 3' end, to which the tRNAs corresponding amino acid is attached (by aminoacyl-tRNA synthetases). tRNAs cope with the degeneracy of the genetic code in two manners: having more than one tRNA (with a specific anti-codon) for a particular amino acid; and 'wobble' base-pairing, i.e. permitting non-standard base-pairing at the 3rd anti-codon position.
Source: RNAcentral